RNAcentral lists this long non-coding RNA (343 nucleotides) under Androctonus crassicauda. Lineage: Eukaryota; Metazoa; Arthropoda; Arachnida; Scorpiones; Buthidae. The record is from RNAcentral.
UAUGUUGUAUGCCAUCAUGGAAGAUGUGCACUGCAUGCAGUUCGUGGAACAUUUGAAUGGUGAUCAUAUUGAGCCUUGUAUAAUUGACAAUAGAUGUCGGCACGUAUUGUUCGGAAACUUGAUGUGUGUUGCCUCAUUUGGCAUUUACACAUUUCCUAAUCACACAUUCGUCACUUCUGAAGUGCCACAAUCCCCCUGUCAGUGACUUCUGUUACUAAAUUUAUUUUCUUUUGAAAUCGAGACUGCAUGUUCCCCUGUAUAUGUUCACCGAAUUUUGUUACAUUUUGUCCAAUAUGUGAUGUACUGGAAGGUUCUGAAUACUUCAUGUUAUUUUAUGAUCACC